RNAcentral lists this small RNA (28 nucleotides) under Bombyx mori (domestic silkworm). Its description in RNAcentral is "ovarian small RNA-24580". Lineage: Eukaryota; Metazoa; Arthropoda; Insecta; Lepidoptera; Bombycidae. The record is from RNAcentral.
UCAACAGUGUUCAUGGUACAGCAAUGAA